RNAcentral lists this ribosomal RNA (253 nucleotides) under uncultured bacterium. RNAcentral's name for it is "partial 16S ribosomal RNA". It matches the Rfam family "Bacterial small subunit ribosomal RNA", at positions 524 to 776 of the family's 1533-position model. The record is from RNAcentral.
UACAGAGGUCUCAAGCGUUGUUCGGAUUCAUUGGGCGUAAAGGGUGUGUAGGUGGCGCCGUAAGUCGGGUGUGAAAUUUCGGAGCUUAACUCCGAAACUGCAUUCGAUACUGCCGUGCUAGAGGACUGGAGAGGAGACUGGAAUUUACGGUGUAGCGGUGAAAUGCGUAGAUAUCGUAAGGAAGACCAGUGGCGAAGGCGGGUCUCUGGACAGUUCCUGACGCUGAGGCACGAAGGCCAGGGGAGCAAACGGG